Molecule: long non-coding RNA, 639 nt
Filed under: Ananas comosus (pineapple)
Lineage: Eukaryota; Viridiplantae; Streptophyta; Magnoliopsida; Poales; Bromeliaceae
Description: long non-coding RNA (ACOM_LNC019378)
Source: RNAcentral
UAUAAUUACAAAAUUCUCUUCAUACAUAAAAAAUGCACACAUUUGAAGCACAAAUCACCUACGUGUAUAGAGUUCGGCUGGGAUACUAUCGAUAGCAUGAAACGUUUGGUGCUAUCAAAUUUUUCGUCGUUAGAUUUAAUCCUUUGACUAUUUUUAUCUGUUAGAUUAUACUAUUAAACUAAUAUAAGACUCAUUCAACCCUAAUGAGCCCAUAUUAUGUUAACCGUAUAUUUUCUUAUCAAAAAAUCAAAAAUCUAAUAGCAUUAAUAACUUAAUAUUAUUGAUAGUAUUCUGGCCGGACUAUAUACAUAUACAAGCCCUCGAAUCAAAUUAAGAAUUGAGAAUUUCCGACCUCGGGAUGCCUAACGGUCACAUGCGUUCAAAGAGCAAAAGAGCAAAACCCCAACCGUGAUCACAUUUAAACCACACUCGACACCACUCCACCCCCUCACACUUCAUAUCCCGCGCCCUCCCCACCCUCAACACAACACAACACAACACAGCACAACACAUACAUGCACACACUCUCACUCACUUAAAACUCCCAUGCACACACAUUCCCCUCCCCUCCCCCUACUACUUACUCCUUCCUCCUCUUCCUCCUCCAAAAAUCGAUAAUAUAUAAAUACCAAUUAAUCA